Molecule: ribosomal RNA, 340 nt
Filed under: uncultured bacterium
Lineage: Bacteria
Description: bacterial SSU rRNA
Rfam family: Bacterial small subunit ribosomal RNA
Source: RNAcentral
GCAUACGAUCUAUGGAUGAAAGCGGGGAUCGCAAGACCUCGCGCGAUUGGAGCGGCCGAUAUCAGAUUAGGUAGUUGGUGAGGUAAAGGCUCACCAAGCCGACGAUCUGUAGCUGGUCUGAGAGGACGACCAGCCACACUGGGACUGAGACACGGCCCAGACUCCUACGGGAGGCAGCAGUGGGGAAUUUUGGACAAUGGGCGCAAGCCUGAUCCAGCAAUGCCGCGUGCAGGAUGAAGGCCUUCGGGUUGUAAACUGCUUUUGUACGGAACGAAACGGUGAGCUCUAAUACAGUUUGCUAAUGACGGUACCGUAAGAAUAAGCACCGGCUAACUACGUG